ACCUGGUUGAUCCUGCCAGUUGUCCAUAUGCUGUUCUCAAAGAUUAAGCCAUGCAUGUCUAAGUAUAAGCAAUUUAUACAGUGAAACUGCGAAUGGCUCAUUAAAUCAGUUAUCGUUUAUUUGAUAGUGCUUUUACUACUCGGAUAUCCGUGGUAAUUCUAGAGCUAAUACGUGCUAACAAUCCCGACUUCUGGAAGGGAUGUAUUUAUUAGAUAAAAAAUCAAUGCUUUCGAGCUUCUUGAUGAUUCAUAAUAACUUUUCGAAUCGCAUGGCCUUGUGCUGGCGAUGGUUCAUUCAAAUUUCUGCCCUAUCAACUUUCGAUGGUAGGAUAGUGGCCUACCAUGGUUGCAACGGGUAACGGGGAAUUAGGGUUCGAUUCCGGAGAGGGAGCCUGAGAAACGGCUACCACAUCCAAGGAAGGCAGCAGGCGCGCAAAUUACCCAAUCCCGACACGGGGAGGUAGUGACAAUAAAUAACGAUACAGGGCCCUUUCGGGUCUUGUAAUUGGAAUGAGUACAAUUUAAAUACCUUAACGAGGAACAAUUGGAGGGCAAGUCUGGUGCCAGCAGCCGCGGUAAUUCCAGCUCCAAGAGCGUAUGUAAAAGUUGUUGCAGUUAAAAAGCUCGUAGUUGAACUUUGGGUUUGGUUGGCCGGUCCGCUUUUUUGCGAGUACUGGAUUCAACCGAGCCUUUCCUUCUGGCUAACUAGUCGUUCUGCGGCUAGCGAACCAGGAUUUUUACUUUGAGAAAAUUAGAGUGUUCAAAGCAGGCAUUAGCUUGAAUAUAUUAGCAUGGAAUAAUAGAAUAGGACGUUAUGGUUCUAUUUUGUUGGUUUCUAGGACCAUCGUAAUGAUUAAUAGGGACGGUCGGGGGCAUCAGUAUUCAGUUGUCAGAGGUGAAAUUCUUGGAUUUACUGAAGACUAACUACUGCGAAAGCAUUUGCCAAGGACGUUUUCAUUAAUCAAGAACGAAAGUUAGGGGAUCGAAGAUGAUCAGAUACCGUCGUAGUCUUAACCAUAAACUAUGCCGACUAGGGAUCGGGUGUAGUCCUUUUUUUGGCUCACUCGGCACCUUACGAGAAAUCAAAGUUUUUGGGUUCUGGGGGGAGUAUGGUCGCAAGGCUGAAACUUAAA
Molecule: ribosomal RNA, 1132 nt
Filed under: uncultured Saccharomycetales
Lineage: Eukaryota; Fungi; Ascomycota; Saccharomycetes
Description: SSU rRNA
Rfam family: Eukaryotic small subunit ribosomal RNA
Source: RNAcentral